AGUCGAACGCGAAAGCCCCGCAAGGGGCAAGUAGAGUGGCAAACGGGUGAGUAACACGUGGGUGACCUGCCUUCGAGCGGGGGAUAACGUCCCGAAAGGGACGCUAAUACCGCAUAACAUCCUGCCUUUGAAGAGGCGGAGAUCAAAGCUGGGGAUCGCAAGACCCGGCACUUGAAGAGGGGCCCGCGCCUGAUUAGCUAGUUGGUGGGGUAAUGGCCUACCAAGGCAACGAUCAGUAUCCGGCCUGAGAGGGCGGACGGACACACUGGGACUGAGACACGGCCCAGACUCCUACGGGAGGCAGCAGUGGGGAAUUGUUCGCAAUGGGCGCAAGCCUGACGACGCAACGCCGCGUGGAGGAUGAAGAUUUUCGGAUCGUAAACUCCUGUCGAAUGGGACGAAUAGAUUGCGGGUUAACAGCCCGCGGUCCUGACGGUACCGUUAAAGGAAACCCCGGCUAACUCCGUGCCAGCAGCCGCGGUAAUACGGGGGGGGUAAGCGUUGUUCGGAAUUACUGGGCGUAAAGGGCUCGUAGGCGGCCAACUAAGUCAUACGUGAAAUCCCUCAGCUUAACUGGGGAACUGCGUGUGAUACUGGAUGGCUUGGAUUUGGGAGAGGGAUGCGGAAUUCCAGGUGUAGCGGUGAAAUGCGUAGAUUUCUGGAGGAACACCGGUGGCGAAGGCGGCAUCCUGGACCAAUAUUGACGCUGAGGAGCGAAAGCCAGGGGAAGCAAACGGGAUUAGAUACCCCGGUAGUCCUGGCCCUAAACGAUGAAUGCUUGGUGUAGCGGGUAUCGAUCCCUGCUGUGCCG
RNAcentral lists this ribosomal RNA (811 nucleotides) under uncultured Bacillota bacterium. RNAcentral describes it as "bacterial SSU rRNA". It matches the Rfam family "Bacterial small subunit ribosomal RNA", at positions 60 to 848 of the family's 1533-position model. The record is from RNAcentral. Lineage: Bacteria; Bacillati; Bacillota.